Molecule: ribosomal RNA, 301 nt
Filed under: uncultured bacterium
Lineage: Bacteria
Description: partial 16S ribosomal RNA
Rfam family: Bacterial small subunit ribosomal RNA
Source: RNAcentral
CAGUCGCCGCGGUAAUGCGAGGGGGGCUAGCGUUGUUCGGAUUUACUGGGCGUAAAGCGCACGUAGGCGGAUCGAUCAGUCAGGGGUGAAAUCCCAGAGCUCAACUCUGGAACUGCCUUUGAUACUGUCGAUCUGGAGUAUGGAAGAGGUGAGUGGAAUUCCGAGUAUAGAGGUGAAAUUCGUAGAUAUUCGGAGGAACACCAGUGGCGAAGGCGGCUCACUGGUCCAUUACUGACGCUGAGGUGCGAAAGCGUGGGGAGCAAACAGGAUUAGAGACCCCCGUAGUCCCUGUCUCUUAUAC